CAUAAAUCAUUCACACCCUCAAGAAAAAGAAAAGAGAAAAAGAAGAAGAAAAGAAACACUAAUAUACAAAAAUGGCUUUAUCAUGCAAAAGUUUCUUGAUUGUGUUCUUGUGUGUGGCAGUUCUCUUACACCCAAAAACUGUGGAAGCCGACGAGUCACAGAGACAUGGAAUUCUCAUCAUUGGUUCUUGCUCAAAAAUUCAAGACUGUAAUAAAAAAUGCAUUGAAAUGCAUUAUGCAAGCGGGAAAUGUAUUAAAAAGACACCUGACGCCACUGAUUUAUCAUGUGGUUGCGAUCUUUAAUUAACAACGCUAUCAAGAUAUUGGAUUGUGAAAAUGUUAAGUCAAUUGAAAUAAAAAUAAUAAUAAAUAGAUUUUAAUCCGCGUUA
Long non-coding RNA from Capsella rubella, 388 nucleotides. RefSeq lists it as uncharacterized. NCBI's taxonomy places the organism in Eukaryota, Viridiplantae, Streptophyta, Magnoliopsida, Brassicales, Brassicaceae. The record is from RefSeq and is a predicted model, not a curated record. The transcript is spliced from 2 exons.